Molecule: ribosomal RNA, 201 nt
Filed under: uncultured bacterium
Lineage: Bacteria
Description: partial 16S ribosomal RNA
Rfam family: Bacterial small subunit ribosomal RNA
Source: RNAcentral
GACGAACGCUGGCGGCGUGCUUAACACAUGCAAGUCGAGCGGUAAGGCCCUUCGGGUACGACGAGCGGCGAACGGGUGAGUAACACGUGGGUGACCUGCCCUUCACUCUGGGAUAAGCCUGGGAAACUGGGUCUAAUACCGGAUAUGACCUGCUCUCGCAUGGGGGUUGGGUGGAAAGUACAGUAUUGUAGUGAUGCUGGC